Molecule: ribosomal RNA, 447 nt
Filed under: uncultured prokaryote
Description: bacterial SSU rRNA
Rfam family: Bacterial small subunit ribosomal RNA
Source: RNAcentral
UCGAGAAUCUUCCGCAAUGGGCGAAAGCCUGACGGAGCGACACCGCGUGCAGGAUGAAGGCCCUAGGGUUGUAAACUGCUGUCACGCUAUAGGAAAUCCCCGAAGUGAAUAGCUAUCGGGGUUGACCAAAGCGAAAGGAAGCACCGGCUAACUCCGUGCCAGCAGCCGCGGUAAGACGGAGGGUGCAAACGUUGUUCGGAAUCACUGGGCAUAAAGAGCAUGUAGGCGGUUUGCUAAGUCAGAUGUGAAAGCCCCCGGCUCAACCGGGGAACUGCAUCUGAUACUGGUGAACUUGAGGAUGGUAGGGGUGAGUGGAACUCCAGGUGGAGCGGUGAAAUGCGUAGAUAUCUGGAGGAACACCUGUGGCGAAAGCGGCUCACUGGACCAUUUCUGACGCUGAGAUGCGAAAGCUAGGGUAGCGAACGGGAUUAGAUACCCCCGUAGUCC